GGCGAGUGAAGCGGGAAGAGCUCAAAUUUGAAAUCUGGCAGUCUUCGAUUGUCCGAGUUGUAAUCUAUAGAGGCGUUUUCCGUGCCGGACCGUGUCCAAGUCUCCUGGAAAGGAGUAUCAAAGAGGGUGAUAAUCCCGUACUUAACACGACCACCGGUGCUCUGUGAUACGUCUUCUACGAGUCGAGUUGUUUGGGAAUGCAGCUCAAAAUGGGUGGUGAAUUCCAUCUAAAGCUAAAUAUUGGCGAGAGACCGAUAGCGAACAAGUACCGUGAGGGAAAGAUGAAAAGCACUUUGGAAAGAGAGUUAAACAGUACGUGAAAUUGUUGAAAGGGAAACGAUUGAAGUCAGUCGUGUUCUUUGGAUUCAGCCAGUUCUGCUGGUCUACUUCCUUGGAACGGGUCAACAUCAGUUUUGUCCGGUGGAUAAAGGUAGUAGGAAUGUGACUUCUCCGGAAGUGUUAUAGCCUAUUAUCACAUACACUGGGUGAGACUGAGGACUGCAGCUCGCCUU
Molecule: ribosomal RNA, 512 nt
Filed under: Trichosporon asahii var. asahii
Lineage: Eukaryota; Fungi; Basidiomycota; Tremellomycetes; Trichosporonales; Trichosporonaceae
Description: LSU rRNA
Rfam family: Eukaryotic large subunit ribosomal RNA
Source: RNAcentral